AUGUGACCUUUCUUGGAGACUGGAUCUUUACAGAGGUAAUCAAGUUAAAAUGAGAUGGUUAGGGUGAACUCUUCUAAUACAUCUGGUGUCCUUAUAAAAAGGAGAAAUGUCGACACUGAGAGAAACACCCACACAGGGAGAAUGCCAUGCGAAGAUGAAGGCGGAAUCAGAGUGAUGCUUCUUCAAGCCAAGAAACACCAAAGCGUUAUCAGCAAACCACCACGAGCUGGAAGAAAAGCCUAGAGCAGGUUCUCCUUCCCAGCCCUGAGAAGGAAGCAACCCUGCUGAUGCUUUGGUUUCAGACUUCUGGCCCCCAGAACUCUAGAGUUCAGAGGGCCCAGCACUGAGGAAUCCAGAACUUAAAGUCAGAAAAAUGUUUUAACUAGACUGGAGGCUCAGAAGCCAUCUUUGAUAACUCCUCCCCAAAUAAACACGGCGGCAGGAGAGACGGCAUGAAUACACAGGCUGGGCACAUUCUGCAGAUUACUGUUCAAAGGAGCCUGGACACCAGGUUCUCUUCUGGACACCAUGAAGAAUACAGCAAAGGACAAUACAGGCCCUGUCCUCAGGAUUUCACCAGCAGCCUGGGAACAAAUGCCACAAAAACUUUCUAGCUAUCAGAGUCAUAUGAAAGCAGGGAAUGGAGAGAUUGCUUCCUACUGGGGAAGAGAAGAGUCUUCAGGGAAGAAGGGGCCCUGGAGCAGGUCAUAAAGUACGUAAAGAAGAAUUUUGUGUUCUGUAUGCCGAGAAAACCCCUCUUUACCCACGC
Long non-coding RNA from Symphalangus syndactylus (siamang), 769 nucleotides. RefSeq lists it as uncharacterized. The record is from RefSeq and is a predicted model, not a curated record. NCBI's taxonomy places the organism in Eukaryota, Metazoa, Chordata, Mammalia, Primates, Hylobatidae.